AUUGAACGCUGGCGGCAGGCCUAACACAUGCAAGUCGAACGGUAACAGGAAGAAGCUUGCUUCUUUGCUGACGAGUGGCGGACGGGUGAGUAAUGUCUGGGAAACUGCCUGAUGGAGGGGGAUAACUACUGGAAACGGUAGCUAAUACCGCAUAACGUCGCAAGACCAAAGAGGGGGACCUUCGGGCCUCUUGCCAUCGGAUGUGCCCAGAUGGGAUUAGCUAGUAGGUGGGGUAACGGCGCACCUAGGCGACGAUCCCUAGCUGGUCUGAGAGGAUGACCAGCCACGCUGGAACUGAGACACGGUCCAGACUCCUACGGGAGGCAGCAGUGGGAAUAUUGCACAAAGGGCGCAAGCCUGAUGCAGCCAUGCCGCGUGUAUGAAGAAGGCCUUCGGGUUGUAAAGUACUUUCAGCGGGGAGGAAGGGAGUAAAGUUAAUACCUUUACUCAUUGACGUUACCCGCAGAAGAAGCACCGGCUAACUCCGUG
RNAcentral lists this ribosomal RNA (489 nucleotides) under uncultured bacterium. RNAcentral describes it as "partial 16S ribosomal RNA". It matches the Rfam family "Bacterial small subunit ribosomal RNA", at positions 30 to 507 of the family's 1533-position model. The record is from RNAcentral.